GUGCACAGCACUUGUUCAGGGCUGGGAGAGGAGGCUGCCUGCAUGCCCAUGGUGAGGUGCUCUCUUCCAGCUGUGGCUCAGAAGGGGCUUCCUUGGCUGGUGCUGCCAUGGCUGCCAGGCAUCACAAUACCCUUGCAUGACUCCCAGAGGACGUGAUGGUCUCCCAGUGGUGGGAUUUGACUGCUCCUUGUCGUUAGUGCUGCUGUGGAGCCCAAGAAGCCACUGGGCAGAAAGAGAGAUGUGACAUUGUGUUAAACAACUCAGCGUGGGAUGGUGUUUUCUCCUGAUGUGCCAGCUCAGCCUGAGACCCAGGGGGUUGAGCUCUCCAGUACUUCCCCUCAGAAUCAGUGCAGAAGAGGACGAAGAGUCUCAUUUUAGGAGGAAAAGUUUCCUUUUUGUCUUUAAUGCUGUAUCCACAUAAACUCUUGACUCUAG
This 435-nucleotide long non-coding RNA is filed under the name Taeniopygia guttata (zebra finch). RNAcentral's name for it is "lncRNA (ENSTGUG00000022339.1)". The record is from RNAcentral. Lineage: Eukaryota; Metazoa; Chordata; Aves; Passeriformes; Estrildidae.